UACAGAGGGUGCAAACGUUGUUCGGAAUUACUGGGCGUAAAGCGCGUGUAGGCGGCCCGGCAAGUCGGAUGUGAAAUCCCACGGCUCAACCGUGGAAGUGCAUUCGAAACUGCAGGGCUAGAGUACUGGAGAGGAAGGUGGAAUGCUCGGUGUAGAGGUGAAAUUCGUAGAUAUCGAGCGGAACACCGGUGGCGAAGGCGGCCUUCUGGACAGUUACUGACGCUGAGACGCGAAAGCGUGGGGAGCAAACAGG
RNAcentral lists this ribosomal RNA (253 nucleotides) under uncultured bacterium. RNAcentral's name for it is "partial 16S ribosomal RNA". It matches the Rfam family "Bacterial small subunit ribosomal RNA", at positions 524 to 776 of the family's 1533-position model. The record is from RNAcentral.